GAUGAAGAACGUAGCGAAAUGCGAUAAGUAGUGUGAAUUGCAGAAUUCAGUGAAUCAUCGAAUCUUUGAACGCACAUUGCGCCCCCUGGUAUUCCGGGGGGCAUGCCUGUUCGAGCGUCAUUUGUACCUUCAAGCUCUGCUUGGUGUUGGGUGUUUGUCUCGCCUCUGCGUGUAGACUCGCCUCAAAAUAAUUGGCAGCCGGCGUAUUGAUUUCGGAGCGCAGUACAUCUCGCGCUUUGCACUCAUAACGACGACGUCCAAAAGUACAUUUUUACACUCUUGACCUCGGAUCAGGUAGGGAUACCCGCUGAACUUAAGCAUAUCAAUAAGCGGAGGA
RNAcentral lists this unclassified non-coding RNA (337 nucleotides) under soil metagenome. RNAcentral describes it as "partial contains 5.8S ribosomal RNA, internal transcribed spacer 2, and large subunit ribosomal RNA". The stretch from base 1 to 120 matches the Rfam family "5.8S ribosomal RNA", at positions 35 to 154 of the family's 154-position model. The record is from RNAcentral.